UUACAGCCAUAUCAUGUUGAAACAUUGGUUCUUGUAUGAUCACUGAAGUUAAGAAACAUCGAGCCUGAUCAGUAUCUAGAUGGGUAACCACUUGGGAAUACCAAGUGCU
This is a non-coding RNA of Acanthosepion pharaonis, 109 nucleotides long. The record is from the annotation of a GenBank genome assembly. NCBI's taxonomy places the organism in Eukaryota, Metazoa, Mollusca, Cephalopoda, Sepiida, Sepiidae.